Molecule: transfer RNA, 72 nt
Filed under: Metallyticus sp.
Lineage: Eukaryota; Metazoa; Arthropoda; Insecta; Mantodea; Metallyticidae
Description: tRNA-Cys
Source: RNAcentral
GGUCUUAUAUUCAUUUAUAAAUGAUAUUAGAAUGCAAUUCUGAAGGCGUAAGGAAUACAAUUAUUAAGACUU